GGCUAAAUACUACUUAGUGACCGAUAGCGCAUAGUACUGUGAAGGAAAGGUGAAAAGAACCCCGGGAGGGGAGUGAAAGAGAACCUGAAACCCUGUGCUUACAAGCACUUAGAGCACGUCAAAGUGUGAUAAGGUACCUAUUGUAGAAUGGUCCGGCGAGUUAUUGUAUGCAGCGAGGUUAAGUAGUUCAGCUACGGAGCCGAAGUGAGAGCGAGUGUUAACAGCACGUUCAGUUGCAUGCAAUAGACCCGAAACCGGGUGACCUAUCCAUGUCCAGGAUGAAGUGAGGGUAAAACCUCAUGGAGGUCCGAACCCACUCCCGUUGAAAUGGUAGGGGAUGAGGUGUGGAUAGCGGAGAAAUUCCAAUCGAACCCGGAUAUAGCUGGUUCUCCCCGAAAUAGUUUUAGGACUAGCCUCGUGAUUAAGAUUAUCGGAGGUAAAGCACUGAAUGGCCUAGGGGUCGAGAGAUUACCGAAGCCUAUCAAACUCUGAAUGCCGAAUAAUCAUGCACGGGAGUCAGACUGUGUGAGAUAAGUUUCAUAGUCGAAAGGGAAACAGCCCAGACCUACAGCUAAGGUCCCAAAGUACGUUUAAGUGGAAAACGAUGUGAAAUUGCGUAGACAACCAGGAUGUUGGCUUAGAAGCAGCCAUACAUUAAAAGAGUGCGUAAUAGCUCACUGGUCGAGUGACUUUGCGCGGAAAAUUUAACGGGGCUAAAACGUACACCGAAGCUUAGGCUUGUCACAAUGUGACAGGGGUAGGGGAGCGUUGAAUGAGGGGUGAAGUCGUAGCGAAAGCGACGGUGGACUUCAUUCAAGUGAGAAUGCCGGAAUGAGUAGCGAGAAUUAUGUGAGAAUCAUAAUGGCCGAAAGCCUAAGGUUUUUGGAGGAAGGUUCGUCCGCUCCAAGUAAGUCGGAAGCUAAGGUGAGGCUGAAAAGCGUAGCCGAUGCACAAACGGUUGAAAUUCCGUUACCACAGAAAGAUUUAAACUAAGGGACACUUUUGAAGAACUGAUGCCGGGUGUUGGUUACCCCGGUCGUAAGGGAACGAAAUCAAGUAGUGAAGUCAGCGUGGAUGAAGGCGAGAAAAGCUUAGUGUAUAUCUUAUGUGUCCGUACCGCAAACCGACACAGGUAGGUAGGAAGAGAAUUCUAAGGCCAACGGGAGAAGGGUAGUUAAGGAACUCGGCAAAAUGUCCCCGUAACUUCGGAAUAAGGGGAGGUUUCUACGGAAACCCGCAGAGAAUAGUCCCAGGCAACUGUUUAUCAAAAACACAGCUCUAUGCUAAAUCGAAAGAUGACGUAUAUGGGGUGACGCCUGCCCGGUGCCGGAAGGUUAAGAGGAGGAGUGAGAGCCCUGAAUCGAAGCCCCGGUAAACGGCGGCCGUAACUAUAACGGUCCUAAGGUAGCGAAAUUCCUUGUCAGGUAAGUUCUGACCCGCACGAAUGGCGUAAUGAUCUGGGAGCUGUCUCAACUGCCCGCCCGGCGAAAUUGUAGUACCGGUGAAGAUGCCGGUUACCCGCGACUAGACGGAAAGACCCCAUGGAGCUUUACUGUAGCUUAAUGUUGG
RNAcentral lists this ribosomal RNA (1569 nucleotides) under human gut metagenome. RNAcentral describes it as "bacterial LSU rRNA". It matches the Rfam family "Bacterial large subunit ribosomal RNA", at positions 464 to 2120 of the family's 2925-position model. The record is from RNAcentral.